CCUUUCUUUCUCCCUCCCUUUUCUUUUUUUUUCCUUUUUUUUUUAUUUUCCCAGUGAAAUCUGCCAGGGGGGCAGCUUGUCCCCCCUGCGUCUUACGCCGCUGUGUAUGACCUAUUUCGUUUACACCGGUUUUAGGAAAAGUUCUUGAGAAUUUUAUUCAUAAAUGGCUUUGGAAUGAAUAUUUACCUAAUCUUGACAAGAAUCAGUUCAGGAGCGUUCCAAGCUCCUCUACCACCAUAGCACUUAUUGAUCUCCGUCAUCACUGGUAUCAGGAAACGGAUGCUAAUAGACAAGCCAUUAGGGUGUUACUAGUAGACUUCCAAAAAGCUUUUGACCGAAUUAAAGAGCCAACUCAGGGAACUUGUUGAGGAUCUGACCAUGGUCCCUAGCAACCGUACCAACAAUACAACAGCUUCGGCAACAUCUUUAUUGACACCGCCUGCAACAGCUGCAACAACACCUUCAGCAACACGAACUUCAACAGCUGCAACAAUAGUGAGUACAUCAACAGGAGCUGUGUCAACACCAGUCACAUGUAGCUCUUCUGACCUUGCUACUACUAGUGCUGCAUCACCUCUAUCUUUCCUACAUGGAUCAACAUUGCCACAGAUGCCCCCACCACCACCACCAUCAUCAUCAUCUGUUUCUAUGGCAGAGACAACUUCAGUUACCAUUAUGACGACUUCUCCUUCAGAGUCAAGAUUACGGAAGAAAGUAGAGAGAUAAAACAGGUUUUCUGCAGACUUUGUCGUGCUCUUAGGGAUAGUAAUGUUCAGAUAGAUUAAAAACCAGGUAUUCCAUUCUUAGUGUGUAAACAUGCUUCUCUGAUUCAUACUCAAAUUAAUGUUGUAUAUUUAAUGUUUGCUGCUGCAAGUGUGUUAUGUUCAAAUAUGGAAAUACAACCUAAGGGGAAUUAAUUCUAGAGAAAAGCUGAGUAAACAAAGGAAGAAAUUGUUAUCUGAUAGUUAGUAGGAGUCUGCUAUUAUUGAUGUAUCUUUUGGUUCAUAUGUAGUUUGCAAACAUAUCCAGGGAUCUGCUUAAAAUUGGAAGGCAGUAUUACAAAAUUAGAAUUUCUUUCAUUAGUAAAUUGUGGUUUCCUUACAAAUGUGUGUAAUUUCCAUUACUAUAUUGUUUGCAAUAAACUUGUGAUGUGUAAUAAUAUUACCAUGUAUGUGACUUUAUUCUUGAGAGGUUGUCCCAAAGAAUGAUAUAGGAUGUAAUAUUUAAUCUAUGGAUUAAAUUACCAGAAUUACAUUUCUCCCAUUGCAUGAAGUGAUGUGUGAUGUUAGGGUUAUGAAAUGCACUUUAAGUUGUUAGAAGUAACCAGAAAGGUAUGGGACUACAUCAAAGUUGAAAGAAUUCAAAGCUACAUAAAUGCUGCCAGUUUUGUAUCAUACUAACCAGGCCAUGCAAAUACCAAUCGUUCUUCCAUGCUCCCUUGAGCUCAGGUACGGAGUAUAAUCUGAACCGAUAAGAGCUUCAUGGAAAUAGAUGUUUCAAGUCUUGUUUUUUAGAGUUUUACAGGGUGGUGGCUUAGAUUUUAACUAUUUCUAUCACCCCAACCACAUUGUCCACCACUACUAUGAAUGUUAUCAAACUCUACCUGUAUAAUCAUAUGUAAAAUCCAAGGCAUUGCCAUUGUGUAUGAUUCUUUUAUGAAUCUCACCUCUGUAAUCUUUUUCUUGUUAUAUAGACUCUAUGGGCUUUGAUCAAGUUGCAACCUGCUUCUUCUAUAUUCAUUCAUAUUUGUCUUACCGCCCUUUCACACGGUAAAAAAAAUUGUAAUUUGAAUGAUGAUUCCAGUGAAAAGGCUAUUGAUGACUAUUUUCCUGUGUGAAACCAAACUAGAACAUGAUUGGAAUCACGAACGCUAAUCACAGUCACGAUUACAAUAGCAAUCAUCAUUACAAUGCUGAUUCGAGAUUCAUGUGUGAAAAGGCUCGUAGUUUAACCGAGAUAGGCAAACAUUUUUUAAGCCUAACAGUGCAUUUAUGAAUACUCUCACAUUAUGAUAUGUGUUGUGGAGCAAUGUCAUGCGAAUAGAUCUAUUUUGAUAAUAAGAGUAAUUAUUGCUGUGAACUGCCAGAUUUUAAGAAACUGGGUACGGCUUUAGGAAGGGACUUGAAACAUUCCUCAUACCAGUCUCUCUCUCACUUAUUUCUUUUGUUAUUGUAAUCUUGAGGAUAGAAAUACACAAGUGCUGCAAAUAUUGUUGAGACUUAACAAUGCAAUUUGUAGAUGGUUGUAUGUUGAUGUGUGAUGUGAACCAUCAUACCUUGUUAACGUUGUGUGAGCAUUGACAAUACCUCAAUAAAGUGCUCUAAUCACCUGUGAA
Lytechinus variegatus (green sea urchin) is the source of this 2335-nucleotide long non-coding RNA. RefSeq lists it as uncharacterized. The record is from RefSeq and is a predicted model, not a curated record. Lineage: Eukaryota; Metazoa; Echinodermata; Echinoidea; Temnopleuroida; Toxopneustidae. The transcript has 2 exons.